UACAGAGGUCCCGAGCGUUGUUCGGAUUCAUUGGGCGUAAAGGGUGCGUAGGCGGGUCUUUAAGUCAGGGGUGAAAUCCUGGAGCUCAACUCCAGAACUGCCUUUGAUACUGAAGAUCUUGAGUGCGGGAGAGGUGAGUGGAACUGCGAGUGUAGAGGUGAAAUUCGUAGAUAUUCGCAAGAACACCAGUGGCGAAGGCGGCUCACUGGCCCGAUACUGACGCUGAGGCACGAAAGCGUGGGGAGCAAACAGG
RNAcentral lists this ribosomal RNA (253 nucleotides) under uncultured bacterium. Its description in RNAcentral is "partial 16S ribosomal RNA". It matches the Rfam family "Bacterial small subunit ribosomal RNA", at positions 524 to 776 of the family's 1533-position model. The record is from RNAcentral.